GCAGUCGACGGUAGCACAGAGGAGCUUGCUCCUUGGGUGACGAGUGGCGGACGGGUGAGUAAUGUCUGGGAAACUGCCCGAUGGAGGGGGAUAACUACUGGAAACGGUAGCUAAUACCGCAUAACGUCGCAAGACCAAAGAGGGGGACCUUCGGGCCUCUUGCCAUCGGAUGUGCCCAGAUGGGAUUAGCUAGUAGGUGGGGUAACGGCUCACCUAGGCGACGAUCCCUAGCUGGUCUGAGAGGAUGACCAGCCACACUGGAACUGAGACACGGUCCAGACUCCUACGGGAGGCAGCAGUGGGGAAUAUUGCACAAUGGGCGCAAGCCUGAUGCAGCCAUGCCACGUGUAUGAAGAAGGCCUUCGGGUUGUAAAGUACUUUCAGCGAGGAGGAAGGCAUUAAGGUUAAUAACCUUAGUGAUUGACGUUACUCGCAGAAGAAGCACCGGCUAACUCCGUGCCAGCAGCCGCGGUAAUACGGAGGGUGCAAGCGUUAAUCGGAAUUACUGGGCGUAAAGCGCACGCAGGCGGUCUGUCAAGUCGGAUGUGAAAUCCCCGGGCUCAACCUGGGAACUGCAUCCGAAACUGGCAGGCUAGAGUCUUGUAGAGGGGGGUAGAAUUCCAGGUGUAGCGGUGAAAUGCGUAGAGAUCUGGAGGAAUACCGGUGGCGAAGGCGGCCCCCUGGACAAAGACUGACGCUCAGGUGCGAAAGCG
RNAcentral lists this ribosomal RNA (713 nucleotides) under uncultured bacterium. RNAcentral describes it as "bacterial SSU rRNA". It matches the Rfam family "Bacterial small subunit ribosomal RNA", at positions 57 to 761 of the family's 1533-position model. The record is from RNAcentral.